This 253-nucleotide ribosomal RNA is filed under the name uncultured bacterium. RNAcentral describes it as "partial 16S ribosomal RNA". It matches the Rfam family "Bacterial small subunit ribosomal RNA", at positions 524 to 776 of the family's 1533-position model. The record is from RNAcentral.
UACGUAGGGGGCAAGCGUUGUCCGGAAUCAUUGGGCGUAAAGAGCGUGUAGGCGGCUUGGCAAGUCUGGUGUGAAAUCUUGCGGCUCAACCGCAAGCGGUCACUGGAAACUGCCUCGCUAGAGUCCGGAAGAGGAGAGCGGAAUUCCCGGUGUAGCGGUGAAAUGCGCAGAUAUCGGGAAGAACACCCGUGGCGAAGGCGGUUCUCUGGGACGGUACUGACGCUGAGACGCGAAAGCGUGGGGAGCGAACAGG